Long non-coding RNA from Cydia amplana, 670 nucleotides. RefSeq lists it as uncharacterized. The record is from RefSeq and is a predicted model, not a curated record. NCBI's taxonomy places the organism in Eukaryota, Metazoa, Arthropoda, Insecta, Lepidoptera, Tortricidae. The transcript is spliced from 2 exons.
AUAAUAAUAAUAAUAAUAAUAAGCCCGCAGGGCAGCUUGUGGCGAGCUGUUGGGGAGUAACGACCCCACGGACCCGAGUGCUCCAGAGAGUCGGUCAGGUGGAACCCCAAGGGGACCCGCAGGACUCUCGGCUCUGGCUUGCCUUCAUUGGCCGUCCAGAGAGGAGUCGUUAGAGCUAUAUGCUCCAGGGGUGGAAGUGAAAUUUGCGUAAGCGCGAGUUGGCACAGUGGCUGUUUACAGCCACUGGGUAGAAAGCGGUGUACACCUCUCGACACCCCUGAGCCGCUCACACCGAUGUUGCGCCUGGUCGUCUUUACGACGACAGUUUCAGGGGCCCAUCUAGUCAGCGGCGAGUCACCACCUGCCUCGAUAACGUGUGUUAGCAUUGUUAUGGCAGGUGUCCGGACUUCUUUACAAUAGCCCAGUAUCAUUGUCCCCCCAAACUUCAAUCCAUAGACCGAUAUACUGUUCACUUUUUAUACAAUAGUCCCAAUGCCUGCUGAGACCGGUUCACGGGUAUCUAUUGAUGUACCCGUGAAUGGGUUCCAGCAGGCGUUCUACAUGACAUCAAACUUGUCUGAAAGGGCCUCUGCGCUGUUGGCUUCGGCCCCACGCACGCCUCCCAAAGGUCCGGGACCCCAUGGUCCCGAGAUAUGGUGAGACAUACAAA